This 169-nucleotide antisense RNA is filed under the name Vibrio genomosp. F6 str. FF-238. Its description in RNAcentral is "Vibrio RNA AS7". It matches the Rfam family "Vibrio RNA AS7". From Rfam's summary of the family: Identified by direct cloning an parallel sequencing experiments with 5S/tRNA depletion. The record is from Rfam by way of RNAcentral. RNAcentral also lists the same sequence under 1 other name. Lineage: Bacteria; Pseudomonadati; Pseudomonadota; Gammaproteobacteria; Vibrionales; Vibrionaceae.
GGCGUUUGUAAUAGCAAUUUACUGCGAUCUUCAAUAUCGCCACCGAUGUGGUAAGGCAAGCCGCAAUUUGCAAAGGAGACGAAUGGACCCCGCUCAAACAUGAUAAUUUCGGCAUCUUCACUUAAACGUCUUGCUCUUGCCGCAGCCGAUGCGCCACCUGCAACGCCAC